GUAUCUACAUGUGUGUGUGUGGUGUAUGUGUGUGACUAUGAAUAGAUGUGUAUUGUGAUAGCUUGUAUAAGUGAGUUUGGUGGGGGCGGGCACACACACACACACACGCAAAUGUGCGUAUAUAAUGCACACAGAUUUUAUGCGUGUGUAUGUGGGCGUGUACGUUAUGUAUUUGUGUGUGUGGACGUGGUUGUGUGCUGUGUGUCAUUAAGUAUCUGAUCCUGACAUCAAGCAGCAGCAGCGGCAAUAGAAAGUUGGUCACUUAGCACCAACUCUAUCAUUAGGAGAGAGUGUGGAUGGUCUCUCGUUCCCUGCUCCUUUUUCUUUCUUUUUUUUUUAUUUGAGGAAAUCACAAACGUCCCAGAGAAAAACGAAACAAAACAUACAUCUUCUCCGUAGUCAACAAGUUCGCAAAUCCGAAGAUUUUCUUCUCCAUAUCUCAUUUAUAACAUUCGGUCUGUUUCGUUCGGUCAUUGGUUUUUUUUCUUCUCCUUUUGGGUUUGCCGCCUUGCUUCAUUUCGCGACUAUCACCUGUUGUGACAGUAUAAAACAAUGGAGACAUCGCGUGAGCAAUAUGUUGAUAGAGAUGAAUGGCCACUGCCUGAUUCCACAGCAGCAACCGGAAUCAUAAUAACCACAGUAUCAUUUUUAUUUUUCCAAAUUACAGCUUUCAUUGUGGACCGCUACCUAAAGACAUCAUCUUUUCUUAACAACCCAAAACUGCACUGGCGAUGGAAAAAUGUGUUUAUUUCGUUUACUCACGCCGCUAUCGUUUCUGUUUGCUGUUUAACGAGCUUCUAUUUAACUCCAAAGCUUACAGCAGAUAUGAUCUCAACACACACCCCUUUAUCACAUGGCACAGUGGCACUAUCUGCAGGUUACUUCCUCCAUGAUAUUGUAGAUAUGGUCGUAUAUGACUGGUCCCGAAAAUCUUUAGAGCUUUUAAUCCAUCAUGUUGUGAUUCUAAUUGCUUUCUCAUUCCCUGUUCUAACAUACAAAAGCGUCGGCUACAUGCUUGUGGCGCUUCUAGUUGAGGUCAACUCCAUCUUUCUUCACUUCCGCCAGUUACUGAGAAUACAUAAAGUUGAUAAAAAGUCAUCAUUAUACAGACUUACCAGCCUUCUUAAUUUAGGUACCUUCAUCAUAUUCCGUAUUGCAGCGCUCUGCUGGAUGACUCGGUGGAUCGUCAUCAACAAAACCCAAGUGCCGUUUUUCUUUUAUGUCCUUGCAAACAUCGGCCUAACCACGACCACUGUGAUGAACAUUGUCCUCUUCUAUCGUUGUCUCAAAAGUGAUUUUAUUUGCCAUGCCAAUACAUCCACCACAAACGUGAAGCUCGAAUAGACAUGCAGCUUCUUACACAAGAAAUGAUGAUAUAUUGUUGUUGUUAAUAUUAUCAUCAUCAUCAUCAUCAUUAUUAUUAUUAUUAUUAUUAUUAUUAUUCCACGAAGGUCGACUUUGCCUUUCAUCCUUUUGAGGUCGAUAAAUUAAGUUUUAAUUGUGUACUGGGGUCACUCUAAUCAACUGGUGCCCUCCCAAAAAAUUUCAGGCUUUGUGCCUAGAGUAGAAAAGAAUAUUUUGUCCAGUCUUAAUUGAUCUCUCUUUAUUGAAUGGCAGAGUCCUUCUAUAAUGUUAAGGGACAUAACUUAAAAAGAAUAAAUACCACAAGGUAUGUUUUUUAUAGUUCAAUGCACCAGUUCAUUGGCAAUCCCUUUGGUUUAUUUUUCCUCUCAUUAAAGACAAUCUAAAAAUUUGUUCCUUUCAAUAACGAUGUAAUAUUUUCUUAUAACAAUAUAUUGUUUAAAAUAUUGGUGUACGUGUAUACAUAUAUAUAUAUAUAUAUAUUUAUAAGUUGCUGUAUUUCAGAAUGGUCAU
RNAcentral lists this unclassified non-coding RNA (1875 nucleotides) under Octopus sinensis (East Asian common octopus). Its description in RNAcentral is "tLC domain-containing protein 2, transcript variant X3". The record is from RNAcentral. Lineage: Eukaryota; Metazoa; Mollusca; Cephalopoda; Octopoda; Octopodidae.